UCUGACACACACGCCAACGAGACGAGUCAAGAUGUCUGCCAUGCGCCUCCUGCUGCUGUGUGUCGCCUUCAUUUGCCUCUCAGUCUUGACAUGCCAAGCAGGCGUAGCCCUUACCCUUACCUCCUCAGGUUCUCUUCUUCCCAACGCCUGGCUGUGCUCAUCCACCUAACCUUCUGCUCUCUAUCUCCGUAGCCUGACUGUAACAGAAGAUGGGGUUAUUAUAUGUGCUCAGAUCUCGACGAACAUGUAUGUGCCAGCAGUGGCAAGACCUACGGCAGCAGGUGCUCAUUCUGUGCAAACAAAGAAUUUUUGAAACUUCCAAUCACAGUUGUAAAAUAUGGAGAUUGUUGAAUCCCUGGAGGUCUGCUGAUCUUCUCUCUACUUUGAACUUCACAAGUCCCCUUUGCCCCACUGCUGACUCCUACAGCCUUUCAAAUCUGAAAUAAACAUUUACUUCUGGCAUGAAA
Long non-coding RNA from Erpetoichthys calabaricus (reedfish), 467 nucleotides. RefSeq lists it as uncharacterized. NCBI's taxonomy places the organism in Eukaryota, Metazoa, Chordata, Cladistia, Polypteriformes, Polypteridae. The record is from RefSeq and is a predicted model, not a curated record. The transcript has 3 exons.